Molecule: non-coding RNA, 21 nt
Filed under: Arabidopsis thaliana (thale cress)
Lineage: Eukaryota; Viridiplantae; Streptophyta; Magnoliopsida; Brassicales; Brassicaceae
Source: RNAcentral
UGUUUAAUUUCACGGGACUGG